RNAcentral lists this ribosomal RNA (391 nucleotides) under uncultured eukaryote. RNAcentral's name for it is "partial 18S ribosomal RNA". It matches the Rfam family "Eukaryotic small subunit ribosomal RNA", at positions 592 to 976 of the family's 1831-position model. The record is from RNAcentral.
CAAUAGCGUAUAUUAAAGUUGUUGCAGUUAAAAAGCUCGUAGUUGGAUUUCUGUGAGAGUGCCGGUGUCGGCUGAUGCUUGUACGCAGGCGCUCUUACAUCCUUCUGUUGACUGUUCUUGGCAUUUUAUUGCUGGUUCAGGGCUCAGAUAUUUUACCUUGAGAAAAUUAAAGUGUUUCAGGCAGGCUUAUGCCGGAAUACAUUAGCAUGGAAUAAUGGAACAGGACCUGUGCGUCUCUCGGGGCGCCGGUCUCCGUUGUUGGUUUCGGGGACUAAUGUAAUGAUUAAUAGGGAUAGUUGGGGGCAUUAGUAUUUAAUAGUCAGAGGUGAAAUUCUCGGAUUUGUUAAAGACUAACUUAUGCGAAAGCAUUUGCCAAGGAUGUUUUCAUUAA